Long non-coding RNA from Solea senegalensis (Senegalese sole), 1192 nucleotides. RefSeq lists it as uncharacterized. The record is from RefSeq and is a predicted model, not a curated record. The transcript has 2 exons. NCBI's taxonomy places the organism in Eukaryota, Metazoa, Chordata, Actinopteri, Pleuronectiformes, Soleidae.
GGGGGAAAAACUUUUUUUUUAUCCACUUAUAAUAAAAUGCCUGCUUAAGUCUAAGAUAACUUAAGAUUAUUUUCACUACUUUAUCUUGCCGUUAGACAGCCUGUUCCAGCUGGAAUCUAAAGCUUGUGUCUACCUGCACCAAAGCCGAUAGAGAAAAUAAGCAAUUUUACAUUCCAUUACACAGGUGAUGCCUCAGUUGGUAACUUAAAAUAUGCUAUUUUAUGACUUUGGGUGUUACAAAUUUUAGGUAAAGUUUUACUUCAUUAGGGUAAAUUUACCUCAGGAGGCAGCAGUAGACCAGCACCUCCAGUGUCUCCAUGAGCUAAAAACGUUGAUAUUCACUAUGGACUUUGGUGCGGGGGAAUUUACAAACUUCCUGCUGCAGAUGUUGUAGAUUUAAUGAGGUAUAGCUUUUAUUACAUGAGCAUGCCCGCUGGUUCUUGGCAAAGGUGGCCAGCAGGGGCCGUGCACACCUGAGUCUGUGAGUUUGAAUCUCAUAAAAUUACAAAAAAAAAAAAAAAGCAGAACUUUAACCACUACUGAGAUGAUGCUCACAGUCUCAUCCUGCAGCUUUUACAAGUACAAAUAAGAAUCAUCCGCAGCCAACAUAUUUUUAAGGUUUAGAGACUUUGUCCACAUACUGUAUAUGCUGCAUAUGUGAAAACAAGGAGCCAUGGCAGUCAAACUGAUUGUAUUUAGUAUUUCUCUUUGGCAUGGAGGUGUGCAUGUGUAGAGCCUCUGAUGAGGUGAGUGUAUUAUUCUCUGGGUGUGGGUGGGGAGUAUGUUUUGUACAGCUGUUUUUUCCUGAAACCCUUAUUAGUUUUAUGGCUGCAAGCAAUACAGCUUAAUUUUUUAACUCCUUGAUAAAAAGCUUUAUCAUGAACACACACGCUGCUUUCUGUGAAGCAUAUUUGUCUCCACUCGUCGGUUGAGAAUCACCAGACACGUUACUGUGAAGCACGCACACAUCUCGACGCUCAGUGUUUCUUCGCACGUUGCUUUAAAGAAAAAAAAAAUAAAUAAAACAAUGGAUUUCCAGUGGUUAAACCCGAUGAGCAGCAAUAGUUUAUUGUGAUGUGGAAGCGCUUUUGUCAGGAUGUGUUUCGGUAGCUCACGCUUGUUAUGUCUCUCCGCUUCAAAUGUGUCAUCAGCGUGUGAAUACUUGCAAAAAGUAUAUUUAUUUUCUCUUUUU